GCCUGGGUGGCUCAGUUGGUUGAGCAUCUGACUUCAGCUCAGGUCAUGAUCUCGCGGUUUGUGGGUUCGAGCCCCGUGUCGGGCU
Molecule: transfer RNA, 85 nt
Filed under: Felis catus (domestic cat)
Lineage: Eukaryota; Metazoa; Chordata; Mammalia; Carnivora; Felidae
Rfam family: tRNA
About the family: Transfer RNA (tRNA) molecules are approximately 80 nucleotides in length. Their secondary structure includes four short double-helical elements and three loops (D, anti-codon, and T loops).
Source: Rfam by way of RNAcentral